AAGGAGGAAAUACUGCGAAAUUGCGUUUUGCCAUGUGAAAAGCAAUACACGCUUUGCUGUGAAGAAUCCCUUAAUCCUGACGGAUUAAAAUUGCUGAAGGAAAAUGAAUCCAUUUGCGGUAGUUUUGGUGAACCAAAAGAUCGCACGAAAUACCGGCCAUGGACGGCCUUACUCGAGUACUACGACGACCUACAACAUGGGAGACGGUUUUAUUGUGGUGGCACUCUGAUUACUUCGAAAUUCGUCUUAACGGCUGCGCAAUGUAUAAAAGACAACUUG
Drosophila bipectinata is the source of this 279-nucleotide non-coding RNA. Lineage: Eukaryota; Metazoa; Arthropoda; Insecta; Diptera; Drosophilidae. The record is from RefSeq and is a predicted model, not a curated record.